Non-coding RNA from Pelobates cultripes (western spadefoot toad), 1005 nucleotides. Lineage: Eukaryota; Metazoa; Chordata; Amphibia; Anura; Pelobatidae. The record is from the annotation of a GenBank genome assembly.
GCCAUGCGUUUAGACUGGAAGAAAGAAAUUUCGUCUAAGGCAAAGGAAAGGUUUUUUUACUGUAAGAACAAUCAGGAUGUGGAAUUCUCUGCCUGAAGAAGUGGUUUUAUCAGAGUCCAUACAGAUGUUCAAACAGCUACUAGAUGCAUACUUGCAAAAACAGAAUAUUCAAGGAUAUAAUCUUUCAAUGUAGGGUAAUAACUACUUGAUCCAAGGAUAAAUCUGACUGCCAUUCUGGGGUCAAGAAGGAAUUUUGCAAAAUUGUGCUUCAAACUGGGUUUUUUUUGCCUUCUUUUGGAUCAACAGCAAAAAACAAAUGUGAGGAAUGCUGAACUUGAUGGACGCAAGUCUCUUUUCAGCUAUGUAACUAUUAAGCCUUCAUAGGAUAGACUUCAAAAAAGACAGAAAUGUGUAUUUUCUAUCUUCUAGGGCUGCCAUUGGGGGUGUGUGUGUCUGUUUCCCACAUUUCUAUAUGUAGGUUUAUGGUGUUGAAAAGGGAACAAUGUCUCAGUGGGUCAGGGGUUGAGUAUAUAGGUCGAAACUGGCAGAGAACAGUUUUGAGUCUAGGGCACAACCAUUUUUUAAACCUCAACAGAUAGAGAAUGGGGGGGAAGUGGUUGGGUGUGCAUGCAUGUGUAUUUGUUCACAUUAUAAAAAAGGUUUCAUUGAGAGAAUUCAUUCAUUAUUGUUAUAAUUUACCUGUAUUUCAGUCUAAAUGUAUAUAUACGUCUGAAGAAGCCCGUAAUUGAGUGAUUCACAUCACGUCACAAAGUCAUUGCGUGGUGGAUGGAGCUCCAGGAGGAUCUUAUCCUGCACUGUAAAUGGACUGUGAUUUGAUUCUUUAGUGUGUUCAUGAGACAGCAUAAGAUGUCCUCUCACAACUUGUUCAAGUAAGCUGCUGUCAUAUUUAUUGAUUUACAAUUUUAUUAGCUCAAUAAAGUGCACUGUAAAUGGGAUCACUUCAGAGUGGAAAUGGUAUUUCUGAUUAGAGAAUUGAAGGUGCAA